UAAUUCCAGCUCCAAUAGCGUAUAUUAAAGUUGUUGCAGUUAAAAAGCUCGUAGUUGGAUUUGUGGCUGUCGCGAGCGGCCUGGCACUUGGUGCUAGUGCCUGCCUGUGACGCCAUCCUUGGGUGGAACCUGUGUGGCAUUAGGUUGUCGUGCAGGGGAUGCCCAUCGUUUACUGUGAGAAAAUUAGAGUGUUCAAAGCAGGCUUAUGCCGUUGAAUAUGUUAGCAUGGAAUAAUAAGAUAGGACCUUGGUACUAUUUUGUUGGUUUGCGCACCAAGGUAAUGGUUAAUAGGGACAGUCGGGGGUAUUCGUAUUCCAUUGUCAGAGGUGAAAUUCUUGGAUUUUUGGAAGACGAACUACUGCGAAAGCAUUUACCAAGGAUGUUUUCAUUAAUCAAGAACGAAAGUUAGGGGAUCGAAGAUGUUAGAUACCAUCGUAGUC
Molecule: ribosomal RNA, 440 nt
Filed under: Hantzschia amphioxys
Lineage: Eukaryota; Bacillariophyta; Bacillariophyceae; Bacillariales; Bacillariaceae
Description: SSU rRNA
Rfam family: Eukaryotic small subunit ribosomal RNA
Source: RNAcentral